Molecule: transfer-messenger RNA, 348 nt
Filed under: Oscillospiraceae
Lineage: Bacteria; Bacillati; Bacillota; Clostridia; Eubacteriales
Also listed under: 1 other name
Description: Limivicinus sp902785905 Standard tmRNA
Rfam family: transfer-messenger RNA
About the family: Bacterial tmRNA, also known as 10Sa RNA or SsrA, is named for its dual tRNA and mRNA-like properties. Its role is to liberate the mRNA from a stalled ribosome.
Source: RNAcentral
GGGGGUGUAACGGUUUCGACGGGGGCGUGGAGGCAGGAAUAGCGGGCGGAUGCGCCUACCAUCCUUAAAAUGGGCAAACCUUAUAAAUCAAAUAACAAGAACGAUCUUCUUGUCGCUGCUUAAUUAGCAGCCGUUCCGCCCGGGAGUACCACGGCCCGGGACGGAGCGUCGAUGAGUGGUGAACGUGAGCGCGCAAAGCUUUGAGCGCGCCAUGCACAAUGAAGCUACCGAGUCUCUGAGGGUGACGGCUCCCGCUCAGAUGAGGGAAUCUCAAUAAACCGCCUGCGCCCGGAGAAGUUCCUGUUAAAAUGCUUUCGGACAGGGGUUCAACUCCCCUCACCUCCACCA